This 449-nucleotide small RNA is filed under the name Pongo abelii (Sumatran orangutan). RNAcentral's name for it is "processed transcript". The record is from RNAcentral. Lineage: Eukaryota; Metazoa; Chordata; Mammalia; Primates; Hominidae.
UGGCACCACCUGAACUGUGUGGUGGAGCAGAAGGGAAUCCCUUGAAAAGGACCCUCUACUCCCUGCCACUCUGAGCCUCAUUAUCCAACUGCAAGUGUCAGAAACCCAACUUGAAUCUUCAUAAGCAAGGAAGAAUACUUACUGAAUUGUCCAAGUCGGGCAUGGCUGGAUCCAGAAAGUCCGGGAACAUGGGCAGAUGUACACUGGGAGCUUUACCUACUGGGUGCGAUCUGUGCUUUCCAGACACAAACUGGACACCAUCCUGGGCAGGCUGGGCUACACGGCCACCUUGGAAUCUGAGUUCUCACUGGUCCAGGCCAUCAGCAAAGAGGAUGUCAAGUAGAUGGUAUUCGAGAUCUUCCUGGCGAGGGUCUCAUGUGAAGCCGUUCUCAGAACCGCGGGCAUACGGAUGCUUGAGCCAGGCACAGAGAAACUCGCUAGGACCCACA